CUACGUGCGGCAGCAGUGGGGAAUAUUGGACGAUGGGCGAAAGCCUGAUCCAGCCAUGCCGCGUGUGUGAAGAAGGCCUUCGGGUUGUAAAGCACUUUCAGUGGGGAAGAAAGCCUUGGGGCUAAUACCCUCGAGGAAGGACAUCACCCACAGAAGAAGCACCGGCUAACUCCGUGCCAGCAGCCGCGGUAAUACGGAGGGUGCGAGCGUUAAUCGGAAUUACUGGGCGUAAAGCGCGCGUAGGCGGUCUGAUAAGCCGGUUGUGAAAGCCCCGGGCUCAACCUGGGAACGGCAUCCGGAACUGUCAGGCUAGAGUGCAGGAGAGGAAGGUAGAAUUCCCGGUGUAGCGGUGAAAUGCGUAGAGAUCGGGAGGAAUACCAGUGGCGAAGGCGGCCUUCUGGACUGACACUGACGCUGAGGUGCGAAAGCGUGGGUAGCAAACAGGAUUAGAUACCCUAGUAGUC
This 464-nucleotide ribosomal RNA is filed under the name Vreelandella stevensii. RNAcentral's name for it is "partial 16S ribosomal RNA". It matches the Rfam family "Bacterial small subunit ribosomal RNA", at positions 339 to 795 of the family's 1533-position model. The record is from RNAcentral. Lineage: Bacteria; Pseudomonadati; Pseudomonadota; Gammaproteobacteria; Oceanospirillales; Halomonadaceae.